RNAcentral lists this transfer RNA (74 nucleotides) under bacterium. Its description in RNAcentral is "tRNA-Asp". It matches the Rfam family "tRNA". Rfam says of the family: Transfer RNA (tRNA) molecules are approximately 80 nucleotides in length. Their secondary structure includes four short double-helical elements and three loops (D, anti-codon, and T loops). The record is from RNAcentral.
GCGGGCGUAGCUCAGUUGGUUAGAGCGUCCCCCUGUCACGGGGAAGGUCACCGGUUCGAGUCCGGCCGCCCGCG